UACGGGGGGGGCAAGCGUUGUUCGGAAUUACUGGGCGUAAAGGGCUCGUAGGCGGCCAACUAAGUCGGACGUGAAAUCCCCAGGCUCAACCUGGGAACUGCGUCCGAUACUGAUUGGCUUGAAUCCGGGAGAGGGAUGCAGAAUUCCAGGUGUAGCGGUGAAAUGCGUAGAUAUCUGGAGGAAUACCGGUGGCGAAGGCGGCAUCCUGGACCGGCAUUGACGCUGAUGAGCGAAAGCUAGGGGAGCAAACGGGAUUAGAAACCCCCGUAGUCC
This 273-nucleotide ribosomal RNA is filed under the name uncultured bacterium. Its description in RNAcentral is "partial 16S ribosomal RNA". It matches the Rfam family "Bacterial small subunit ribosomal RNA", at positions 524 to 796 of the family's 1533-position model. The record is from RNAcentral.